Molecule: transfer RNA, 67 nt
Filed under: Crossodactylus schmidti (Schmidt's spinythumb frog)
Lineage: Eukaryota; Metazoa; Chordata; Amphibia; Anura; Hylodidae
Description: tRNA-Leu
Rfam family: tRNA
About the family: Transfer RNA (tRNA) molecules are approximately 80 nucleotides in length. Their secondary structure includes four short double-helical elements and three loops (D, anti-codon, and T loops).
Source: RNAcentral
GUAGCAAAACCUGGUAUUGCAAAAGACCUAAACCCUUUUAAUAGAAGUUCAAAUCUUCUCACUAACU